GACGAACGCUGGCGGCGUGCUUAACACAUGCAAGUCGAACGGAAAGGCCCUGCUUUUGUGGGGUGCUCGAGUGGCGAACGGGUGAGUAACACGUGAGUAACCUGCCCUUGACUUUGGGAUAACUUCAGGAAACUGGGGCUAAUACCGGAUAGGAGCUCCUGCUGCAUGGUGGGGGUUGGAAAGUUUCGGCGGUUGGGGAUGGACUCGCGGCUUAUCAGCUUGUUGGUGGGGUAGUGGCUUACCAAGGCUUUGACGGGUAGCCGGCCUGAGAGGGUGACCGGCAACAUUGGGACUGAGAUACGGCCCAGACUCCUACGGGAGGCAGCAGUGGGGAAUACUGCACAAUGGGCGGAAGCCUGAUGCAGCAACGCCGCGUGCGGGAUGACGGCCUUCGGGUUGUAAACCGCUUUCGCCUGUGACGAAGCGUGAGUGACGGUAAUGGGUAAAGAAGCACCGGCUAACUACGUG
RNAcentral lists this ribosomal RNA (468 nucleotides) under uncultured bacterium. RNAcentral's name for it is "partial 16S ribosomal RNA". It matches the Rfam family "Bacterial small subunit ribosomal RNA", at positions 28 to 507 of the family's 1533-position model. The record is from RNAcentral.